Non-coding RNA from Nicotiana tabacum (common tobacco), 3311 nucleotides. The record is from RefSeq and is a predicted model, not a curated record. NCBI's taxonomy places the organism in Eukaryota, Viridiplantae, Streptophyta, Magnoliopsida, Solanales, Solanaceae.
CGUAAAUCUUGUCUUGUCUUGUCUUGUGCAAUUUAUUGUUUCUCUCCUAAAUAUUAUUUUCCUUCUAUUAUGUUAACACGCUUUCUCAAUAGUAGAGUCAUCUGGAUAGAGGAUUUCAAAUGAAUUUUGUACGUGAAUAUGAUUGGCUGUAGGGGUGGUGGAAAAUGGCGUGAAUACUGUAUGUGGCAAAGUUGUGGAAGGGGUGGGUGUAAGGCAAUAAUUGGGAGUUGAAACAAUAAGUGGGGCAGCUGAUGCUUUAUUGUGUUUUGGACUUUGAAAAGUGGUAUUCCUUUGGGACUUAGUAUUUGGGUGAGGGAUGGUGUCUGUAGGUCAGUAGGUGGAUACGAGUGUGAAGAUUUUCCAUUUGGUUAGAAGAGGGAGGAGAGUGGCUAUUGGAUGGAGGUGAGGAAGAAGAGGUAUGCCUACGACGUGGGUAGGUAACUGUUUACCAUGUCGAUUGAGAUGGUUGUGGGUGGUGGUUCUGCACAGUGUUGGUGGUUGAAGUAAGGGGGUUUGGGGUGGUGGUAGGGGUCGUGGAGUUUGUUUGAUUUUGAGAUGUACAAGAGGAAAAUAAGUGGCCAAUACAGCCACAGGUGGAGUACAUGGGGAUAGAGGAUUCAUAAGAAUUUUUUUGCAGGUGUGUACCAAUGAGAAUUUCUUUGGGGAGUGGUUUUCCGGUUGGUGCAAGAACACAUAAGCGAGCAUAGCGUCCUCUACUGGUUAUGGCGGUGCAAUUGUCUAUUUUUAACAGUGCCAAUUUGUGUGCCUAUUUUUCGGAGAAUAUCAAGGUCGUAGUAUUUGGUAGGGAGUUCUAAAAGUCGAGCCCAGAUAGCGGAGAAGUUGUUUGUUUCAUCUGUUACUGAGAAUUUGGGUUCCCAAUUGCGGACAGUAAUGUAUUGCGAGCCAAUAAACCAGGGGCCAUUGUGAGGGACUCUGUGAUAGUUGUUAAGAUGGGUGAAUAAGAUCAGGAAAUAGUCAUUGCCAAGAUCAAUGAGGUUAAAUGGUUCAAUGGGCUGCCAAAUCGUUUGGAGCCUAUUUUUGAGGUGGUAUCCUAGUUUCCUACCAAGUGAUUUGACGAUGACAGAUUGUGUCCAGUUGUGGUAUAGGCGAUUUUUAUCAGCAAUAGAAAAUGGGGAUGAAAUGUGGAUGGUUGGAAGGGUUGUCGUUUUCGUCGGAGAGGUCAAGCUGUUGGAAUGUGUGAUUAAUAAAUUGGAAGGUGUUGUCAAAGGUGGGAAGGGGUGAUGCGGUUAAUUUGUCAAGGUAGCUAGUGGAUGUAGGUGAUGAGUGAUGGGAAAAUGGAACAUCUGGAGUUUGUUCUAAUACUGUUUCAAGUGUUAUUGGUUGUGAGAUUGGAGAGGUGUUUGGGUCGGUAUCUGGUAUUUGUUGAAGUAGUGUCUCAGGUUGGAUUGGUUGUAUGGUUUGAGAAUCAAAUAUCUCUGGGUAAUUGGUACUGCGAUAGAGUAAGUCUGCUUCUUGGUCAUUCAUUUCUCCGUCAGUUAGUGGUGUUUGACAUGGUGAGUUAAGCUAUGGCUGUUUGUGUGUUGUAGUUGCAGAAGGUACAAAAAACGUAGGGAUCAGAAUCAUCAUUGAGAGGUACAACACAGUUUGUCGAAUAUGGCUUAGAAUGAAUUUGUUACUGAUAAAUUUAAUAAUGCUGCUUUUAUAUCUUUAAAAAAAUUAACAUUAUGGGAAAAUUAAAUGUAUGAAUAUAUUAUAAAAAUAAUAAAUAAAAUAAUAUUAAGUUAUUUUAAGUAAUAUUAUAUAGUAUAUGAUAUAGAAGGUAUGUCAUAAACGAGAGAAGUUAUAAUGUCAAGGGCAUCAUAGACUUCUCAGGUAAAAUUUUAUAAAAUCUAGUCAAAGUGAUUAUUGUGAUAAUAAUAAAAUAAUUUUUGGGUAGCAAAAGAAAGAAAAGUAACUUUUGGAUAACGAACAUAAAAUUGAAUGACAUUUACAUAAUAAAGAAGAAGUGAUUUUUGAAUAAUAAACACAAAAUUGAAUGAUCACCCAUUAAACUAUAAGCAUUUUUUACUUAGACACCUUAAACAUGUGACACAUAUUCAAAUGUACCUAUUAUACCCUUAAGUACUAACCAAUCAAAACAAUUAAAUGUUUAAUUCACAUGCCGAAAUGAUGAAUAAAACGAAGAAACAUGAUUUUUAGCCCAAAUAAUUACGUGUUAAAAAGAAGGAUUUCGAGCCCAAAACGAAAAAAAAAAGGAUUCUGAAUUUGUUUUUGCCCAUUGGACUGAGGUUGAACAGAUAUGAAUACUGUUAUACUGCUCAUGUAAUCCAAGAGGACUAAAAAGAAAAUUGAAGACCAUUUUGUCAAAGGCAUAUGAUUCCGGCCAAAGGUAGUGUGCUUCAUACAUAUGAAAUGGGAGUAAGUUACUUUCUUUUUUGAAUGAUAAAUUGCAUUGUGAACUACCUGAACAUUAUUAAUUAGUCUAAUUUUUCAUUUGAUGACUUUUUCUUGAACUCUCUUCUUGUGCUUUAGGAUUAUGUUUGUGAAACAAAUUGGGGUUGCCGCUUGGUGGCCGGCGGGAGAGAGAAGAGAAAAUGUGAUGUCUUUUUGAAAGGAAAAAAAGAAGGAAUAAUAUGAUUUGGGAUCAUUCACAUGCCUAAGAGAGACGAUUGCUUGAGCUUUAACAGUGGAAAAGCUGGUCAAGAAGGUGAAUAUGAGCAAGAUGGAAUAUUGGUGGUUGUUGAUCAUUCUGUUUUUGGCAAAUGGGCAGUGGUGCUGUUUAGGUUGUUGGAAAGAAGAAAGAAGUGCUCUCUUGCAACUCAAAGCAAAUAUAAACUACAUAGGAUCAGGUGGUUUUCUGUCGUCAUGGAUGGCCAACGAAACCUCAGAUUGUUGUCGAUGGUUGGGAGUUGUUUGCAGCAACAGCACAAGACGAAUCACUGAGUUGUCCAUUACCGUCAGUGAAAAAGAUAUGAAUGAUACUUUGCCGCUAUUCAAUGCAUCUUUGUUUCUUCCCUUCAGAGAUAUCAGAGCUCUGCUCCUCCCUGGAAAUUCUUUCGUUGGAUGGGCUGACACUGAAGGUUCCUUGUUGCUAUCCUUUCUUCAUAAUACUAAAAUUCAAAUGGAGGGAAUUGACACUCAGAUUUCAUAUUAGUUUGGGUUUGAGAUGUAGUUAUUUUUGUCGUUGUUGUUAUUGUUAUAUCUAUAGACAUGUUUGAAUCCCUUGCAGUUCAACAUCGGAUAAAUUAGGAUGAUCACAAUAAUUUGAAUUGUUGUAAUGUUAAGUUCAAAGGUUAAAUCCAUUUGACUCUUGAGAAGUUAACAAUGUUUAUAUCUAAGUUUCUUGUUAA